UGGGGAAUAUUGCACAAUGGGGGAAACCCUGAUGCAGCGACGCCGCGUGAACGAAGAAGGUAUUCGUAUCGUAAAGUUCUGUCCUAUGGGAAGAUAAUGACAGUACCAUAGAAGAAAGCUCCGGCUAAAUACGUGCCAGCAGCCGCGGUAAUACGUAUGGAGCGAGCGUUGUCCGGAAUUAUUGGGCGUAAAGGGUACGCAGGCGGUUUAAUAAGUCGAAUGUUAAAGAUCGGGGCUCAACCCCGCAAAGCAUUGGAAACUGAUAAACUUGAGUAGUGGAGAGGAAAGUGGAAUUCCUAGUGUAGUGGUGAAAUACGUAGAUAUUAGGAGGAAUACCAGGAGCGAAGGCGACUUUCUGGACACAAACUGACGCUGAGGUACGAAAGCGUGGGGGGCAAACAGG
RNAcentral lists this ribosomal RNA (403 nucleotides) under bacterium. Its description in RNAcentral is "partial 16S ribosomal RNA". It matches the Rfam family "Bacterial small subunit ribosomal RNA", at positions 355 to 776 of the family's 1533-position model. The record is from RNAcentral.